UCAUAAGGACAGAACGGGUUGGUGAUGUAGACCUGACACGUGAGCCUGUGUUCAAAGUGGAGAGUACCUUCACAGCACCUUGGCUCUCUGUUGCUGUUGACGUCUUCCUGCUUCAUCUAGCGGACAAUAAGAAUAAUAUUUGACUGAAAC
Long non-coding RNA from Lampris incognitus (smalleye Pacific opah), 150 nucleotides. RefSeq lists it as uncharacterized. The record is from RefSeq and is a predicted model, not a curated record. The transcript has 3 exons. Lineage: Eukaryota; Metazoa; Chordata; Actinopteri; Lampriformes; Lampridae.